UAAAAAACAACACAACCCACUGAUGGAGCCUGGGAAGUAGAAAGAGCUGGGGGCCAACCCUCAGGGAUUUUUAAGCUGCAGUGAAGUUUGACAUUUGGAGGUACCCUUAAAAGAAGCCUAAUUUGGACUUUGGCUUGGAAGGUAUUGUUAAGAAGUUUUAACACUGCAGGGGGGAAAAAGUUUCCUUUAAACUUCCUAACCCCUUUUAAUAUGCAGAUGAAGAGGGUCUAGAAACCUGACCAUUUCUGACCAUGGAAGACCACCGCAGUCCCUGAAGUUUGAGAAUUUAAUAACUAAAUCCCCCAUUUAUUUCUUUGGGGAGUGUUAAUAUAUUUUUCUCAUUGUGUUGAACCCCAACUGGGAUCCAUGGUUAAUUCACUCCAAGGAGCUACUCUUUAACCCAGGAGGAAUGCUGAAAAAGAGCUUGUCCUCCAGAGCUGUCAGUGCUCCUGAUCUGGUAAGAAUGGUUGAAGAUUCCCCUUCCCCCAGUCAAUGAGCCCCUUUUCUUUGUUGUAAGUAGUAUUUAGUAUUUCACUCUGACAGCUUCACACUUUGUCUUGGCUCCAAGAUUGUACCACAAAGACAAUGCACUCUGGCUGAUGUCUUCCUUUCUGAAGCCAGCCCUCCUCAAUUUGUAAUUCUCCAGUAUAAAUAAUUGCAAAAAUCUUUGAUGAAAACAUACCAUGCCAUUGUCACCAGGCUAUGCUUUGAUAGGAAAGCUUAAAGAAGACUUCUAAUGUCUUGGCUGGUUGUAAAUCAAUUGUAUUAUGUUACUGAUAAAUCAGUUUUGAAUGUGCU
This 798-nucleotide long non-coding RNA is filed under the name Monodelphis domestica (gray short-tailed opossum). RNAcentral describes it as "lncRNA (ENSMODG00000044746.1)". The record is from RNAcentral. Lineage: Eukaryota; Metazoa; Chordata; Mammalia; Didelphimorphia; Didelphidae.